UGCCGCCUGGGCGCCGCCGAUAAGGGCGGUCGGCGGGGCCGCCGCGGCCGGUGGGAGCGGGGCUCCGGGGAGGAGGGCGCCGCGGCCGGCCCCGGGGCUGGCGCCUGUGCCCACAUUCCCGUGUUGACCGAAAGCCUGUCCCUCCAGGCAGUUACUGCUGCGAGUGUGUGUUUUUCCUUUAGGAGUAUGACAUCAAGCUCUGUGUUUAUUUGGCUAAAUACCUGAGAAACUGCUAAGAGAUAAAGCGCAGUUCCUGUUUUCCCCGCUCGCUGCCAAGGGAUACUUUUGCGCGGUGAAUCUAAAUGAUAAACUGGAAAUUGAAGCUCCMGUCUGAGAAAACUCCAAGUCACACGAAUGAGUGAAUUGCCGAAGGGAUUUAGUUUCUGCUAAUGCAAGGAUGAUUUACCAGCUUCAGUGAGCCAUGCAAGAGCUGACAUACAGAAGACAAGAUGAAAGCAAGCCUUAAUAAUCUGUGCAUUCUGCUAGACAUGACCCAGGUUUUGUAUAAUUUUCAGCAUGCUUUCCUUAUGUUCUGUGGAUUAGACCCAAGGCUUCCAGGACACAAUUUGCAAAAGAGCUGA
Molecule: long non-coding RNA, 581 nt
Filed under: Dromaius novaehollandiae (emu)
Lineage: Eukaryota; Metazoa; Chordata; Aves; Casuariiformes; Dromaiidae
Description: lncRNA (ENSDNVG00000004922.1)
Source: RNAcentral